This 253-nucleotide ribosomal RNA is filed under the name uncultured bacterium. Its description in RNAcentral is "partial 16S ribosomal RNA". It matches the Rfam family "Bacterial small subunit ribosomal RNA", at positions 524 to 776 of the family's 1533-position model. RNAcentral also lists the same sequence under 1 other name. The record is from RNAcentral.
UACGUAGGGUGCGAGCGUUAAUCGGAAUUACUGGGCGUAAAGCGAGCGCAGACGGUUUAUUAAGCAAGAUGUGAAAUCCCCGAGCUUAACUUGGGAACUGCGUUUUGAACUGGUAAGCUAGAGUAUGUCAGAGGGGGGUAGAAUUCCACGUGUAGCAGUGAAAUGCGUAGAGAUGUGGAGGAAUACCGAUGGCGAAGGCAGCCCCCUGGGAUAAUACUGACGUUCAUGCUCGAAAGCGUGGGUAGCAAACAGG